AGUGGGAAUAACUUCAAUUCCAAGAAAAUGAUGGAGGGGUCCCAAGUCUUUGAUAGGAAACCGAUUUGAUAAGGUGCCAAUAAAGUGAGUGAUGAAAUUGUUGUCGUUAUUAGUGAGAACUAUAUCAUCAACAUAUACCAUGGAAAAGCACAAUAUUUUAUCAUGAUUGUAGAUAAAGAGAGAGACAUCAACUUGUGAUUUGUGAAAACCACAAGUAAGAAGGAUAAAUGUCAACUCUAUGUCCCAUGCCCGUGUUGCUUAUUUCAAGCUGGAAAGAGAUUUUCGUAGUUUGCAGAUAUGAUUAGGAAAUUGAGGAUGAAUGAAACCUGGUGGUUGAUUCAUGAAGACUUCUUCAUGAAGUGUCCCGUGAAGAAAUGCAUUAUUGACAUUAAGUUGGCGUAGGGUCCAGUUGUGGGGAAGAGCUAGAGAUAGGAUGACACGAAUAGUUAUGGGUUUGGGAACGGGGCUGAAAGUGUCAGAAUGAGAUAUCUCAUCCCACUAAUGGAUCGUUGCAACUUAUAGAUAAGGUAAUUUCUUUCAUUCUACCUUCAAGAAUAAAGUGAGUUUUCUACAUGUCAAGUUAAGGAAGCAAUUUAUUACAUGAGGUGUUUCCCAUUGUAAAUCCAUCUUUUCUAGAACAGUUGAGAAAUGUUGAAUAAUUAAGCUCUAAUUAUUCAACUAAAAUUUCAUGGCUGUAAUCUUUAUAUAAAUGAUAGGGCUCUUGAUUUUUGAUAUUUGUAAUAUUUGGGUAACAUGUUUGUUAAAUUAUGUGGAUUGUACUUAAAUCUCUUCUUCAAUAAUUAUUACUACCCAUUUAACAAUUAACACAUUUUAUUUUGUUUUAUUUCUUGACUAAUG
This is a non-coding RNA of Lactuca sativa (garden lettuce), 858 nucleotides long. The record is from RefSeq and is a predicted model, not a curated record. NCBI's taxonomy places the organism in Eukaryota, Viridiplantae, Streptophyta, Magnoliopsida, Asterales, Asteraceae.